UUAUUAACAGCGAAAAGACAGGACAAG
RNAcentral lists this non-coding RNA (27 nucleotides) under Mus musculus (house mouse). The record is from RNAcentral. Lineage: Eukaryota; Metazoa; Chordata; Mammalia; Rodentia; Muridae.